RNAcentral lists this unclassified non-coding RNA (588 nucleotides) under Hevea brasiliensis (rubber tree). Lineage: Eukaryota; Viridiplantae; Streptophyta; Magnoliopsida; Malpighiales; Euphorbiaceae. The record is from RNAcentral.
GGACGAGUUUUUCCAGUAGCUAUGACCACUUUUACACCCCUAGAAGUGGCCUCUCUAAGAGCUUCAGCAGUUGCUGAACUAAUCUGACUUUUGCUGUUCAGGAGGGUACCAUCCAUAUCACAGAAGAUGUAGCUAAACUUUGGUCUGUAAAAUCGUAGACUCCCUUCUUUCUUCCUGUCAAUGUUCUCCAAAAGAGAACUUCCAGCAGCCUCAGCAUCAUAUGCGCUCUGAAUUAAUCCUUUUCCCUUCCACCCAAGACAUUUUAGAAGGAGCUCCUCUUCUUUCUCCAUUUCAGCUUCAGCUUCAUCACUAAUCUCAUGAUCGAACCCCAAAAGAUGUAGCAAGCCAUGAACCAGUAAGAUGCGUAUCUCGUCCAGUAAACUAUGUCCCCUUUCCUCUGCUUGCCUUGCUGCUGUCUCCACCGAAAUCACAAUGUCUCCCAGCAUUAAAAUUGGCAGCUCAAGUUCAGGUAUGUGUUGUGACAUUGAAAGGACAUCAGUAGGGCUAUCCACAUCUCUCCAGUCCUUAUUAAGUUCGCGGAUGAACUCAUCGUUGCAAAGCAAUACUGACAAUUCAACACUUUCAAAG